UCAGGAUGAACGCUGGCGGCGCGCCUAACACAUGCAAGUCGAACGGCACCCCUCUCCGGAGGGAAGCGAGUGGCGAACGGCUGAGUAACACGUGGAGAACCUGCCCCCUCCCCCGGGAUAGCCGCCCGAAAGGACGGGUAAUACCGGAUACCCCCGGGCGCCGCAUGGCGCCCGGGCUAAAGCCCCGACGGGAGGGGAUGGCUCCGCGGCCCAUCAGGUAGACGGCGGGGUGACGGCCCACCGUGCCGACAACGGGUAGCCGGGUUGAGAGACCGACCGGCCAGAUUGGGACUGAGACACGGCCCAGACUCCUACGGGAGGCAGCAGUGGGGAAUCUUGCGCAAUGGGGGGAACCCUGACGCAGCGACGCCGCGUGCGGGACGGAGGCCUUCGGGUCGUAAACCGCUUUCAGCAGGGAAGAGUCAAGACUGUACCUGCAGAAGAAGCCCCGGCUAACUACGUGCCAGCAGCCGCGGUAAUACGUAGGGGGCGAGCGUUAUCCGGAUUCAUUGGGCGUAAAGCGCGCGUAGGCGGCCCGGCAGGCCGGGGGUCGAAGCGGGGGGCUCAACCCCCCGAAGCCCCCGGAACCUCCGCGGCUUGGGUCCGGUAGGGGAGGGUGGAACACCCGGUGUAGCGGUGGAAUGCGCAGAUAUCGGGUGGAACACCGGUGGCGAAGGCGGCCCUCUGGGCCGAGACCGACGCUGAGGCGCGAAAGCUGGGGGAGCGAACAGGAUUAGAUACCCUGGUAGUCCCAGCCGUAAACGAUGGACGCUAGGUGUGGGGGGACGAUCCCCCCGUGCCGCAGCCAACGCAUUAAGCGUCCCGCCUGGGGAGUACGGCCGCAAGGCUAAAACUCAAAGGAAUUGACGGAA
Molecule: ribosomal RNA, 872 nt
Filed under: uncultured bacterium
Lineage: Bacteria
Description: bacterial SSU rRNA
Rfam family: Bacterial small subunit ribosomal RNA
Source: RNAcentral